This 394-nucleotide ribosomal RNA is filed under the name Escherichia coli. RNAcentral describes it as "bacterial SSU rRNA". It matches the Rfam family "Bacterial small subunit ribosomal RNA", at positions 1050 to 1444 of the family's 1533-position model. Lineage: Bacteria; Pseudomonadati; Pseudomonadota; Gammaproteobacteria; Enterobacterales; Enterobacteriaceae. RNAcentral also lists the same sequence under 1 other name. The record is from RNAcentral.
UGUCGUCAGCUCGUGUUGUGAAAUGUUGGGUUAAGUCCCGCAACGAGCGCAACCCUUAUCCUUUGUUGCCAGCGGUCCGGCCGGGAACUCAAAGGAGACUGCCAGUGAUAAACUGGAGGAAGGUGGGGAUGACGUCAAGUCAUCAUGGCCCUUACGACCAGGGCUACACACGUGCUACAAUGGCGCAUACAAAGAGAAGCGACCUCGCGAGAGCAAGCGGACCUCAUAAAGUGCGUCGUAGUCCGGAUUGGAGUCUGCAACUCGACUCCAUGAAGUCGGAAUCGCUAGUAAUCGUGGAUCAGAAUGCCACGGUGAAUACGUUCCCGGGCCUUGUACACACCGCCCGUCACACCAUGGGAGUGGGUUGCAAAAGAAGUAGGUAGCUUAACCUUCG